Molecule: ribosomal RNA, 911 nt
Filed under: Bipolaris sorokiniana
Lineage: Eukaryota; Fungi; Ascomycota; Dothideomycetes; Pleosporales; Pleosporaceae
Description: LSU rRNA
Rfam family: Eukaryotic large subunit ribosomal RNA
Source: RNAcentral
GCAUAUCAAUAAGCGGAGGAAAAGAAACCAACAGGGAUUGCCCUAGUAACGGCGAGUGAAGCGGCAACAGCUCAAAUUUGAAAUCUGGCUCUUUCAGAGUCCGAGUUGUAAUUUGCAGAGGGCGCUUUGGCUUUGGCAGCGGUCCAAGUUCCUUGGAACAGGACGUCACAGAGGGUGAGAAUCCCGUACGUGGUCGCUAGCUAUUGCCGUGUAAAGCCCCUUCGACGAGUCGAGUUGUUUGGGAAUGCAGCUCUAAAUGGGAGGUAAAUUUCUUCUAAAGCUAAAUAUUGGCCAGAGACCGAUAGCGCACAAGUAGAGUGAUCGAAAGAUGAAAAGCACUUUGGAAAGAGAGUCAAACAGCACGUGAAAUUGUUGAAAGGGAAGCGCUUGCAGCCAGACUUGCUUGCAGUUGCUCAUCCGGGCUUUUGCCCGGUGCACUCUUCUGUAGGCAGGCCAGCAUCAGUUUGGGCGGUGGGAUAAAGGUCUCUGUCACGUACCUCUCUUCGGGGAGGCCUUAUAGGGGAGACGACAUACCACCAGCCUAGACUGAGGUCCGCGCAUCUGCUAGGAUGCUGGCGUAAUGGCUGUAAGCGGCCCGUCUUGAAACACGGACCAAGGAGUCUAACAUCUAUGCGAGUGUUUGGGUGUCAAGCCCGAGCGCGUAAUGAAAGUGAACGGAGGUGGGAACCCGCAAGGGUGCACCAUCGACCGAUCCUGAAGUUUACGGAAGGAUUUGAGUAAGAGCAUGGCUGUUGGGACCCGAAAGAUGGUGAACUAUGCUUGAAUAGGGUGAAGCCAGAGGAAACUCUGGUGGAGGCUCGCAGCGGUUCUGACGUGCAAAUCGAUCGUCAAAUUUGGGCAUAGGGGCGAAAGACUAAUCGAACUAUCUAGYAGCUGGGUUCCUGCCGAAG